UUCUAUAUAUAUGAGAGCUCUGAAGGCGUUAGAGGAGAAGCUAAGCGUUUGGUAGGCGCAAAACUUGCGUAGAGCCUUAAAGAUCGACCAUAAUAGCUGAUUUCCGGAAGGGGAAUCGCAAGCGACGAAGGAGAUGGUGAAGAUGGCGGCUUCUCUAAUCUUUUUAGUUUUGUCCGUAUCACCACUUUGGGCAGAUACAAAGCCUAAUAAACAGAAAAUCAAUAAGCCCAAAGUCCACUUUUUGUCGAAGUCCAUUCGUUACCCAUCAAUUUUUUUUUUUUUAAAAGAGGUGGGAUCCACAAUGUUAUAUUAGUUUCCGACCUUCAUAAUUUAUAUAUUAGUUUCGGCAAUCAACAUACAUAGUAUCCUUUAGUGCAGUGGUAUAAUUAUGGGUGUUUAUAUUUCAAUAAUCUGGAUUCGAGCUACAGAUUUGAUAUUUUUUUACACUUUUUA
This 453-nucleotide long non-coding RNA is filed under the name Brassica rapa (field mustard). RNAcentral describes it as "long non-coding RNA (BRAP_LNC005078)". Lineage: Eukaryota; Viridiplantae; Streptophyta; Magnoliopsida; Brassicales; Brassicaceae. The record is from RNAcentral.